Molecule: transfer RNA, 86 nt
Filed under: Pseudoxanthomonas sp.
Lineage: Bacteria; Pseudomonadati; Pseudomonadota; Gammaproteobacteria; Lysobacterales; Lysobacteraceae
Description: tRNA-Leu
Rfam family: tRNA
About the family: Transfer RNA (tRNA) molecules are approximately 80 nucleotides in length. Their secondary structure includes four short double-helical elements and three loops (D, anti-codon, and T loops). Further hydrogen bonds mediate the characteristic L-shaped molecular structure. tRNAs have two regions of fundamental functional importance: the anti-codon, which is responsible for specific mRNA codon recognition, and the 3' end, to which the tRNAs corresponding amino acid is attached (by aminoacyl-tRNA synthetases). tRNAs cope with the degeneracy of the genetic code in two manners: having more than one tRNA (with a specific anti-codon) for a particular amino acid; and 'wobble' base-pairing, i.e. permitting non-standard base-pairing at the 3rd anti-codon position.
Source: RNAcentral
GCCGGUGUGGCGGAAUGGUAGACGCAGCGGACUCAAAAUCCGCCGCCCUUAAAAGCGUGUGGGUUCGAGUCCCUCCACCGGCACCA